GAUGAACGCUGACAGAAUGCUUAACACAUCAGCAAUUGAUUGGUGGCGGACGGGCGAGUAACGCGUAAAGAACUUACCUAACAGUUAGGGACAACAUUUGGAAACGAAUGCUAAUACCUAAUACUGUGAGAGGGGUUUGGGUCCCAUUAGCUAGUUGGAGAGGUAACGUCUCACCAAGGCGAUGAUGGGUAGCAGGCCUGGAAGGGUGAUCGGCCACAAGGGGACUGGGAGACAGCCAUUAGGCAUACGGGAAGCAGGAGUGGAGAAUAUUUGACAAUGGACCAAAGUCUGAUCCAGCAAUUCGGUGGGCAAGAUGAAGUUUUCGGAAUGUAAAGGGCUUGAAGUUGAAAAGCGGUACCAACAGAAGAAGUGACGGCUAAAUACGUGCCAGCAGCCGCGGUAAUUC
Molecule: ribosomal RNA, 406 nt
Filed under: uncultured bacterium
Lineage: Bacteria
Description: partial 16S ribosomal RNA
Rfam family: Bacterial small subunit ribosomal RNA
Source: RNAcentral